UACGUAGGGGGCGAGCGUUGUCCGAAGUUACUGGGCGUAAAGCGCGCGUAGGCGGGUUGGCAAGUCUGCUGUGAAAGCCCGGGGCUUAACUCCGGAGGGUCGGUGGAUACUGCCAGUCUUGAAGGUGCUAGGGAGAGAUGGAAUUACAGGUGUAGCGGUGAAAUGCGUAGAUAUCUGUAGGAACACCAGUGGCGAAGGCGGUCUCUUGGGGCAUUCUUGACGCUGAGGCGCGAAAGCUGGGGAGCGAACGGG
Molecule: ribosomal RNA, 252 nt
Filed under: uncultured bacterium
Lineage: Bacteria
Description: partial 16S ribosomal RNA
Rfam family: Bacterial small subunit ribosomal RNA
Source: RNAcentral